GACGAACGCUGGCGGCGUGCUUAACACAUGCAAGUCGAACGGAAAGGCCCUGCUUUUGUGGGGUGCUCGAGUGGCGUACGGGUGAGUAACACGUGAGUAACCUGCCCUUGACUUUGGGAUAACUUCAGGAAACUGGGGCUAAUACCGGAUAGGAGCUCCUGCUGCAUGGUGGGGGUUGGAAAGUUUCGGCGGUUGGGGAUGGACUCGCGGCUUAUCAGCUUGUUGGUGGGGUAGUGGCUUACCAAGGCUUUGACGGGUAGCCGGCCUGAGAGGGUGACCGGCCACAUUGGGACUGAGAUACGGCCCAGACUCCUACGGGAGGCAGCAGUGGGGAAUAUUGCACAAUGGGCGGAAGCCUGAUGCAGCAACGCCGCGUGCGGGAUGACGGCCUUCGGGUUGUAAACCGCUUUCGCCUGUGACGAAGCGUGAGUGGCGGUAAUGGGUAAAGAAGCACCGGCUAACUACGUG
RNAcentral lists this ribosomal RNA (468 nucleotides) under uncultured bacterium. RNAcentral describes it as "partial 16S ribosomal RNA". It matches the Rfam family "Bacterial small subunit ribosomal RNA", at positions 28 to 507 of the family's 1533-position model. The record is from RNAcentral.